CCUACGGGUGGCUGCAGUGGGGAAUAUUGGACAAUGGGGGCAACCCUGAUCCAGCCAUGCCGCGUGUGUGAAGAAGGCCCUCGGGUUGUAAAGCACUUUCAGUGAGGAAGAACGCCUGGUGGUUAAUACCCAUCAGGAAAGACAUCACUCACAGAAGAAGCACCGGCUAACUCCGUGCCAGCAGUCGCGGUAAUACGGAGGGUGCGAGCGUUAAUCGGAAUUACUGGGCGUAAAGCGCGCGUAGGUGGCUUGAUAAGCCGGUUGUGAAAGCCCCGGGCUCAACCUGGGAACGGCAUCCGGAACUGUCAAGCUAGAGUGCAGGAGAGGAAGGUAGAAUUCCCGGUGUAGCGGUGAAAUGCGUAGAGAUCGGGAGGAAUACCAGUGGCGAAGGCGGCCUUCUGGACUGACACUGACACUGAGGUGCGAAAGCGUGGGUAGCAAACAGGAUUAGAUACCCCUGUAGUC
RNAcentral lists this ribosomal RNA (465 nucleotides) under Vreelandella stevensii. RNAcentral describes it as "partial 16S ribosomal RNA". It matches the Rfam family "Bacterial small subunit ribosomal RNA", at positions 338 to 795 of the family's 1533-position model. Lineage: Bacteria; Pseudomonadati; Pseudomonadota; Gammaproteobacteria; Oceanospirillales; Halomonadaceae. The record is from RNAcentral.